AGUGAACGCUGGCGGUAGGCCUAACACAUGCAAGUCGAACGGCAGCACAGGAGAGCUUGCUCUCCGGGUGGCGAGUGGCGGACGGGUGAGGAAUACAUCGGAAUCUACUCUGUCGUGGGGGAUAACGUAGGGAAACUUACGCUAAUACCGCAUACGACCUACGGGUGAAAGCAGGGGAUCUUCGGACCUUGCGCGAUUGAAUGAGCCGAUGUCGGAUUAGCUAGUUGGCGGGGUAAAGGCCCACCAAGGCGACGAUCCGUAGCUGGUCUGAGAGGAUGAUCAGCCACACUGGAACUGAGACACGGUCCAGACUCCUACGGGAGGCAGCAGUGGGGAAUAUUGGACAAUGGGCGCAAGCCUGAUCCAGCCAUACCGCGUGGGUGAAGAAGGCCUUCGGGUUGUAAAGCCCUUUUGUUGGGAAAGAAAUCCAGCUGGCUAAUACCCGGUUGGGAUGACAGUACCCAAAGAAUAAGCACCGGCUAACUUCGUGCCAGCCGCCGCCGUAA
Molecule: ribosomal RNA, 506 nt
Filed under: uncultured bacterium
Lineage: Bacteria
Description: partial 16S ribosomal RNA
Rfam family: Bacterial small subunit ribosomal RNA
Source: RNAcentral